UACGUAGGUGGCAAGCGUUAUCCGGAAUUAUUGGGCGUAAAGAGCGCGCAGGUGGUUGAUUAAGUCUGAUGUGAAAGCCCACGGCUUAACCGUGGAGGGUCAUUGGAAACUGGUCGACUUGAGUGCAGAAGAGGGAAGUGGAAUUCCAUGUGUAGCGGUGAAAUGCGUAGAGAUAUGGAGGAACACCAGUGGCGAAGGCGGCUUCCUGGUCUGUAACUGACACUGAGGCGCGAAAGUGUGGGGAGCAAACAGGAUUAGAUA
Molecule: ribosomal RNA, 261 nt
Filed under: uncultured prokaryote
Description: partial 16S ribosomal RNA
Rfam family: Bacterial small subunit ribosomal RNA
Source: RNAcentral